GCUAGUUGUACGAGUUUAGACUCGUAGCAGAUAGCUCAGUAACACGUGGCCAAACUACCCUAUGGAUCCAGACAACCUCGGGAAACUGAGGCUAAUCUGGAAUACGACUCUCAUCCUGGAGUGGAGAGAGUCCGAAAUGCUCCGGCGCCAUAGGAUGUGGCUGCGGCCGAUUAGGUAGACGGUGGGGUAACGGCCCACCGUGCCAGUAAUCGGUACGGGUUGUGAGAGCAAGAGCCCGGAGACGGUAUCUGAGACAAGAUACCGGGCCCUACGGGGCGCAGCAGGCGCGAAACCUUUACACUGCACGCCAGUGCGAUAAGGGGACUCCAAGUGCGAGGGCAUAUAGUCCUCGCUUUUUGCGACCGUAAGGUGGUCGCGGAAUAAGUGCUGGGCAAGACCGGUGCCAGCCGCCGCGGUAAUACCGGCAGCACGAGUGAUGACCGCUGUUAUUGGGCCUAAAGCGUCCGUAGCUGGCCGCGCAAGUCUAUCGGGAAAUCUCUCCGCUUAACGGAGAGGCGUCCGGUGGAAACUGUGUGGCUUGGGACCGGAAGACCAGAGGGGUACGUCUGGGGUAGGAGUGAAAUCCCGUAAUCCUGGACGGACCACCGGUGGCGAAAGCGCCUCUGGAAGACGGAUCCGACGGUGAGGGACGAAAGCUCGGGUCACGAACCGGAUUAGAUACCCGGGUAGUCCGAGCUGUAAACGAUGUCUGCUAGGUGUGACACAGGCUACGAGCCUGUGUUGUGCCGUAGGGAAGCCGUGAAGCAGACCGCCUGGGAAGUACGUCCGCAAGGAUGAAACUUAAAGGAAUUGGCGGGGGAGCACUACAACCGGAGGAGCCUGCGGUUUAAUUGGAU
This 857-nucleotide ribosomal RNA is filed under the name Natrialba magadii. RNAcentral describes it as "bacterial SSU rRNA". It matches the Rfam family "Archaeal small subunit ribosomal RNA", at positions 53 to 911 of the family's 1478-position model. The record is from RNAcentral. Lineage: Archaea; Methanobacteriati; Methanobacteriota; Halobacteria; Halobacteriales; Natrialbaceae.